This 388-nucleotide ribosomal RNA is filed under the name uncultured bacterium. Its description in RNAcentral is "bacterial SSU rRNA". It matches the Rfam family "Bacterial small subunit ribosomal RNA", at positions 29 to 417 of the family's 1533-position model. The record is from RNAcentral.
AUUGAACGCUGGCGGCAGGCCUAACACAUGCAAGUCGAGCGGCAGCACGGGUACUUGUACCUGGUGGCGAGCGGCGGACGGGUGAGUAAUGCCUAGGAAUCUGCCUGGUAGUGGGGGAUAACGCUCGGAAACGGACGCUAAUACCGCAUACGUCCUACGGGAGAAAGCAGGGGACCUUCGGGCCUUGCGCUAUCAGAUGAGCCUAGGUCGGAUUAGCUAGUUGGUGAGGAAUGGCUCACCAAGGCGACGAUCCGUAACUGGUCUGAGAGGAUGAUCAGUCACACUGGAACUGAGACACGGUCCAGACUCCUACGGGAGGCAGCAGUGGGGAAUCUUGCGCAAUGGGCGAAAGCCUGACGCAGCGACGCCGCGUGAGGGAUGACGGCCU